The sequence is a transfer RNA, 72 nucleotides long. It matches the Rfam family "tRNA". Rfam says of the family: Transfer RNA (tRNA) molecules are approximately 80 nucleotides in length. Their secondary structure includes four short double-helical elements and three loops (D, anti-codon, and T loops). The record is from Rfam.
GGCCUUGUGGCCUAAUGGUAAGGCGUUAGAUUUCGGCUCUAAAGAUUGUGGGUUCGAAUCCUACCGGGGUCG